CUGACGUCUAGACCUAGACGGUGGCUCAGCCUGAACCCUGGACGGCCUGGAGCACAGCCAUGCAACUGCUUCUAAGACAAAACCGAGCAGGAGCAUCUGCCAACGUCUCCACAUUGUGGACCUGAGAUUGUUCUCCGGAAGCUGCAGUCGGAGCAUCGCCAGGCCCAGCCCUGGGUCCUCCACCCGGGCCACUGCCUCUCAGGCGGCCUCUCCCUGCCCCCGCCCCUCCGGGGCCCCACAGGGCGGCCAGUGCAGACCUGGGUGUGCAACGGCCCCAUCAGCGUUUGUUUCAUGAACAAAUAAAUGUCUAAAUUCAGGACCCA
This 323-nucleotide long non-coding RNA is filed under the name Homo sapiens (human). RNAcentral's name for it is "HSALNT0395534". The record is from RNAcentral. Lineage: Eukaryota; Metazoa; Chordata; Mammalia; Primates; Hominidae.